Molecule: ribosomal RNA, 466 nt
Filed under: uncultured Planctomycetota bacterium
Lineage: Bacteria; Pseudomonadati; Planctomycetota
Description: bacterial SSU rRNA
Rfam family: Bacterial small subunit ribosomal RNA
Source: RNAcentral
UGCCCGAAGGGUGACGAAGCGACGCCGCGUGGGUGAGGAAGGCCUUCGGGUUGUAAAGCCCUGUCAGGAGUUAAGAAAUGUAGACUCGCUAAUAUCGGGUCUAUUUGACAAAGGCUCCAAAGGAAGCCACGGCUAACUCUGUGCCAGCAGCCGCGGUAAUACAGAGGUGGCAAGCGUUGUUCGGAAUUAUUGGGCGUAAAGAGCACGUAGGUGGAUUUGUAAGUCAGACGUGAAAGCCUUCUGUUCAACGGAAGAAUUGCAUCUGAAACUACAAACCUUGAGUGUAGGAGGGGAGAAUGGAACUUCUGGUGGAGCGGUGAAGUGCGUAGAUAUCAGAAGGAACGCCGGCGGCGAAAGCGAUUCUCUGGCCUAUUACUGACACUCAGUGUGCGAAAGCUAGGGGAGCAAACGGGAUUAGAUACCCCGGUAGUCCUGGCCGUAAACGAUGGGCACUAAGUAGAGGGGU